GUCUUGUUUAUAGCGCUUAUCCAGUUUUUUGAUCUGUUAUUUUGAUGAAUAUGGUUUUUAAUUAUUAGUUAGUAUUAUUGUUAACUACUAACUGUUGUUAGUGUCAGUUAAGCAGCAAGAAAGUAAUAUUACAGUGUUUAUUUGUAAGAAGUAGAUCCUUGGUUAUCUUUCUGAUGUUACUGAGUGCUCGAUAUAAUUGGUAGUGGCCCUUUGUUGUGAUUUUCUUUAUGUAAUAAUCUUAUAGCUUGGCAUCACCCUUUAUGGGAUGGCAAUUGGCUAUCUUUUCCAGUGGCCAUUUGUAGAGAAGAUUUAAUUUUUU
Molecule: unclassified non-coding RNA, 319 nt
Filed under: Hevea brasiliensis (rubber tree)
Lineage: Eukaryota; Viridiplantae; Streptophyta; Magnoliopsida; Malpighiales; Euphorbiaceae
Source: RNAcentral